UACGAAGGGUGCAAGCGUUACUCGGAAUUACUGGGCGUAGAGCGUGCGUAGGUGGUUUGUUAAGUCUGUUGUGAAAGCCCCGGGCUCAACCUGGGAAUGGCAAUGGAUACUGGCAGGCUAGAGUGCGGUAGAGGGUAGUGGAAUUCCCGGUGUAGCGGUGAAAUGCGUAGAGAUCGGGAGGAACACCAGUGGCGAAGGCGGCUACCUGGACCAGCACUGACACUGAGGCACGAAAGCGUGGGGAGCAAACAGGG
RNAcentral lists this ribosomal RNA (254 nucleotides) under uncultured bacterium. RNAcentral describes it as "partial 16S ribosomal RNA". It matches the Rfam family "Bacterial small subunit ribosomal RNA", at positions 524 to 777 of the family's 1533-position model. The record is from RNAcentral.